GCUGGGAGGGAGUCCGGGGCCCAGUUCCCGGCGCCUCUGAGCGGCUCUCGAGGCGUUCUCGCCUCGGUCUCUGGCGAGUGCACGGAUCAAAAGCAGCAUGGAUCUGCCUGUGGAUGAGUGGAAAUCAUAUCUGCUUCAAAAGUGGGCUUCACUCCCGACGUCUGUUCAGGUCACAAUUUCUACAGCAGAGACCUUGAGGGAUAUCUUUCUUCACUCCUCUUCACUUCUUCAACCUGAGGAUGAGCUGUUUCUAAAAAGACUUUCUAAAGGUUACUUGGUGGGAAAGGACUUGGAUGCUCCCCUUUUCUACAGAGAAGAAGGAAACAAAAAAUUUCAGGAGAAAGAUUACACAGGAGCUGCAGUGCUGUACUCUAAGGGAGUGUCACAUUCAAGGCCUAACACUGAGGACAUGUCACUGUGUUAUGCUAACCGCUCGGCAGCCCUCUUCCACCUGGGUGAGUAUGAGGUGAGUAUCAGGAUACCUGGUGUGAGUGGAGAGGAUCCGGAGGGCUUUUACUGGAGGACUUAGACCUUCAUCUCUGCUUCUUCCAUAGAACACUAAAAUCAGGUCAUGCUGCUAUUGGUUGAAUUGGAAGCACAUUAAUAUCUACCUAAAGUCGGGCCGGGCGCUCAUGCCUGUAAUCUCAGCACUUUGGGAGGUCCAGGCAGGCGGAUCACCUGAGGUCAAGAGUUCAAGACCAGUCUGGCCAACAUGGUGAAACCCUGUCUCUACUAAAAAUACAGG
RNAcentral lists this small RNA (745 nucleotides) under Pongo abelii (Sumatran orangutan). Its description in RNAcentral is "retained intron". Lineage: Eukaryota; Metazoa; Chordata; Mammalia; Primates; Hominidae. The record is from RNAcentral.